UACGAAGGGGGCUAGCGUUGCUCGGAAUCACUGGGCGUAAAGCGCACGUAGGCGGAUUCUUAAGUCGGAGGUGAAAUCCUGGAGCUUAACUCCAGAACUGCCCCCGAUACUGGGAGUCUUGAGUUCGAGAGAGGUGAGUGGAACUGCGAGUGUAGAGGUGAAAUUCGUAGAUAUUCGCAAGAACACCAGUGGCGAAGGCGGCUCACUGGCUCGAUACUGACGCUGAGGUGCGAAAGCGUGGGGAGCAAACAGG
RNAcentral lists this ribosomal RNA (253 nucleotides) under uncultured bacterium. RNAcentral's name for it is "partial 16S ribosomal RNA". It matches the Rfam family "Bacterial small subunit ribosomal RNA", at positions 524 to 776 of the family's 1533-position model. The record is from RNAcentral.